Molecule: long non-coding RNA, 1597 nt
Organism: Oncorhynchus nerka (sockeye salmon)
Lineage: Eukaryota; Metazoa; Chordata; Actinopteri; Salmoniformes; Salmonidae
Exons: 2
Source: RefSeq, a predicted model, not a curated record
ACCAGCUGGAAAAGAGGUAGAAGUGAGGUAGCACCAGGGGAAAACAUACUACAGUCGUAGCCAAAAGUUUUGAGAAUGACACAUUCAUUUCCACAGUUUGCUGCUUCAGUGUCUUGAUAUUUGUCAGAUGUUAUAAUGGAAUACUGAAGUAUAAUUACAAGCAUUUCAUAAGUGUCAAAGGCUUUUAUUGACAAUUACAUGAAGUUGAUGCAAAGAGUCAAUAUUUGCAGUGUUGACCCUUCUUUUUCAAGACCUCUGCAAUCUUCCCUGGCAUGCUGUCAAUUAACUUCUGGGUCACAUCCUGACUGAUGGCAGCCCAUUCUUGCAUAAUCAAUGCUUGGAGUUUAUCAGAAUUUGUGGGUUUUUGUUUGUCUACCCGCCUCUUGAGGAUUGACCACAAGUUCUUAAUGGGAUUAAGGUCUGGGGAGUUUCCUGGCCAUGGACCCAAAGUAUUGAUGUUUUGUUCGCGAGCCACUUAGUCAUCACUUUUGCCUUAUGGCAAGGUGCUCCAUCAUGCUGGAAAAGGCAUUGUUCGUCACCCAACUGUUCCUGGAUGGGUAGGAGAAGUUGCUCUCAGAGGAUGUGUUGGUACCAUUCUUUAUUCAUGGCUGUGUUCUUAGGCAAAAUUGUGAGUGAGUCCACUCCCAAAUUGCCAUCAUACAAACUGAGGCAGCAGACUUCGAAAAUUUAUAUUUGUGUCAUUCUCAAAACUUUUGCCACGACUGUACACUGAACAAAAAUAUAAACGUAAAGUUUGGUCCCGUUUUGCAUGAGCUGAAAUAAAAGAUCCCAGAAAUGUUCCAUAUGCACAAAAAGCUUGUUUCUCUCAAAUGUUGUGCACCAAUUUGUUACAUCCCUGUUAGUGAGCAUUUCUCCCAAAAUAACCCCUCCACCUGACAGGUGUGGCAGAUCAAGAAGCGGAUUAAACAGCAUGAUCGUUACACAGGGGCACCUUGUGCUGGGGACAAUAAAAUGCACCAUUUUGUCGCACAACACAAUGCCACAGAUGUCUCAAGUUGAGGGAGGGUGCAAUUGGCAUGCAGACUGUGGCUGGUCGUUUUAGAGACAGCUAACCGGACAGCUGAUAAAUGUGUUUGCACAACCAAAGAAAUUCUGCACAAACUGUCAAACUGUCUCAGGGAAGCUCAUCUGCUUCCUCACUAGUCUUCACGUGACUGCAGAUCGUCGUCGUAUCCGACUUCAGCUGGCAAAUGCUCACCUUCAAUGGCCACUGGCAUGCUGGAGAAGUGUGCUCUUCACAGAUGAAUCCCAGUUUCUACUAUACCGGGCAGAUGGCAGACAGUAUGGCGUUCUGUGGAUGUCUUCGUAGAUCCGAGGGCAGCAAGCUUGGAACUAAGUUUGGUGAAGACUCUCUUGUUUCUCACUGUGGAGAGAAGCUGCUCCUGAACACUCCCAUCUGCCCAGAGUGUUAACAACGCAUGGACCUCCUCAGGUGACCAGCUGGCUCGAGAUUCAUCUGUGAAUGCACCAGAUCUGUUAAAAGCACUUAAACUGGCAAACAAUGUUACCUAGCAAGUUUAAACAGUUUUCCAAAAAUGUGUACUAUACUGAGCAAAAAUAAAAACAUUCAACAAUU